Molecule: ribosomal RNA, 200 nt
Filed under: uncultured bacterium
Lineage: Bacteria
Description: partial 16S ribosomal RNA
Rfam family: Bacterial small subunit ribosomal RNA
Source: RNAcentral
AACGAACGCUGGCGGCAGGCUUAACACAUGCAAGUCGAGCGCCUCGCAAGAGGAGCGGCAGACGGGUGAGUAACGCGUGGGAAUCUACCGUGCCCUAAGGAAUAGCUCGGGGAAACUGGAAUUAAUACCUUAUACGCCCUUCGGGGAAAGAUUUAUCGGGGUAUGAUGAGCCCGCGUUGGAUUAGCUAGUUGGUGGGGUA